This 503-nucleotide unclassified non-coding RNA is filed under the name Hevea brasiliensis (rubber tree). The record is from RNAcentral. Lineage: Eukaryota; Viridiplantae; Streptophyta; Magnoliopsida; Malpighiales; Euphorbiaceae.
GCCCGACCUCAUGUGCUGAAAAUGAGGGAUGAUAUUAAAUUCUAUAAUAAUAAAUCAAGCCAAUAAUCUAUUAGCAAAUGUAAUGUUUUAUGGAGUCAAAUGCAAUCCUUUACCAGAUAAUAUACACAAACACACACUAUAAGGACAAAGUGUUGGACCAAUUUAGCUCCUAUUAUUAGUCAGGGCUCACUUCAAAUAUGUUCUCAUCUGAUAACAAAGCAUAUUGGUUGAUCCCUUUAAACAAAUUUCUUACCAUCCAUCAUGAAGGAAUAAAAUCAAAAUCAUAUUUUCUUUCCUGCAUAGUAAAUUGAAGUAGAUGAGAGAAAGAGAAAGCAAGAGACAGGUCUGUGUAUCUGAUGCAAGCCUGUAUAUGCAUUCAAACAUCACGAUGACUUCAGUGAGGACUUGGGACUUUCCAUCUAAUAAUAAGAUCGACUGCAAUUACACAGGAAUUAAAUAUCCAUUUAGCUAAAGGCAGAAGAUAAAGGAAGUACCUUCUAACA